CCCCACGUUCACAUAAUAAAAUAUUUCAUACAUAAACUCAAAAAAUUUCCAUCUUUUUUAAUCACACAUUCUCCUAAACAUUACUGUUCAAAACUCUAUUUUCCUCAAAUAGUGGGUGUCAUACAAUAGCCAUAUUGGUUACAAAUUGAGCAUCUAAAAAAGCUGGUUGGUAUUGUGAGGUCUAUCUUCCAUUGCAGAUUUUCAAUUAAAUCAUAUGACUAGAGGUACACAGUUAAUUUCAUACAAAAAUAUCAUCAAGUAUUGAAUUGAUUAGAUAUAAAUGGUACAAAAGAUUUCAUUGGACUUGUAUAUCACGAAACUUUGCAUAUACUCUGGACAAAAGGUUGCUUAUAAUAUUCCAAUAUUUGAGCGGUUCCCUUCUGGUGAUGAUUGCCUUGAGAAAUUCUAUUGAACCAGUGGGAUAUUGGCAAUAUCUCGUCUGCAUGGAGUGUGGCAACUCAAACUUGAUCAUUCGAUUUGAAUGCAUAUUCCCCCAAAAAGGGGAAUAGGUCAUAUUGUUCGUCAAAGUGUUUCCUGUCCACUCUCAGCAUCUCGGUCAAGCUUUGUUGGCUCUAUAAAUGUAACGACGUUGUUUUGCAGAUCAUAAGAUAGAGCACUGGAAGUAUAUAAACUGUCAUCAAAGAGAUAACGGUGACAUCCACAAGAACGCAAUAAUCUACCUGCAGGAGAAUUCCAUUAAUCAGCUAUGCAAAUAAAUUCUAUCAAAAUCUCUGUUAUCAGAUAUAUAUAGUUAAAUAAAGACAACGUAGUCAGUGCAUAAAGUGUUAAAGUGAGUAAAAUUUCUCGGCUCAAUUCUCAGUACUAUCACGUUCACAAGUGCAAUGGUAAGAAUCACCUUCAGUAGUUGUACGAGCACACUAAAAAUACCUUCGCUCACACACACUGAGA
Molecule: long non-coding RNA, 909 nt
Filed under: Olea europaea subsp. europaea
Lineage: Eukaryota; Viridiplantae; Streptophyta; Magnoliopsida; Lamiales; Oleaceae
Source: RNAcentral